RNAcentral lists this non-coding RNA (20 nucleotides) under Mus musculus (house mouse). The record is from RNAcentral. Lineage: Eukaryota; Metazoa; Chordata; Mammalia; Rodentia; Muridae.
UGGUGUCUAUAGGGAGGAGA